RNAcentral lists this small nuclear RNA (23 nucleotides) under Arabidopsis thaliana (thale cress). RNAcentral's name for it is "snRNA_00149". Lineage: Eukaryota; Viridiplantae; Streptophyta; Magnoliopsida; Brassicales; Brassicaceae. The record is from RNAcentral.
AUUCUAAGACGUUCAUACGAUGU